UUUAUGGAGAGUUUGAUCCUGGCUCAGAGUGAACGCUGGCGGCGUGCCUAACACAUGCAAGUCGAGCAGAAUUCUUCAGAGUAUCGUAGAGUUUAGCGGCAA
RNAcentral lists this ribosomal RNA (102 nucleotides) under Endomicrobium sp. Its description in RNAcentral is "partial 16S ribosomal RNA". It matches the Rfam family "Bacterial small subunit ribosomal RNA", at positions 1 to 101 of the family's 1533-position model. Lineage: Bacteria; Pseudomonadati; Elusimicrobiota; Endomicrobiia; Endomicrobiales; Endomicrobiaceae. The record is from RNAcentral.